This 87-nucleotide non-coding RNA is filed under the name Deltaproteobacteria bacterium. RNAcentral's name for it is "ZTP sequence". It matches the Rfam family "ZMP/ZTP riboswitch aptamer (pfl RNA motif)". From Rfam's summary of the family: Previously known as pfl RNA. ZMP is also known as AICAR. The record is from RNAcentral. Lineage: Bacteria; Pseudomonadati; Myxococcota; Myxococcia.
AAGGCCCUUCGCAACUGACGGAAUUAAGGUGGGCGACCACCGGGGAGCGAAGGGUUCGUUUGUUUGUCGACCGUCUGGGCAGAGCGU